AGGAUGAACGCUGGCGGCGUGCCUAAUACAUGCAAGUCGAGCGGUAAGGCCUCUUCGGAGGUACACGAGCGGCGGACGGCUGAGUAACACGUAGGAACGUACCCAAACUGAGGGAUAAGCACCAGAAAUGGUGUCUAAUACCGCAUGUGCUCUAAGGAGUAAAGCUUCGGCGGUUUGGGAACGGCCUGCGCAUGAUUAGCUUGUUGGUGAGGUAAAAGCUCACCAAGGCGACGAUCAUUAGCUGGUCUGAGAGGAUGAUCAGCCAGACUGGGACUGAGACACGGCCCAGACUCCUACGGGAGGCAGCAGUAGGGAAUUUCCACAAUGGGACGAAAGCCUGAUGGAGCAACGCCGCGUGCAGGAUGAAACCCGUUCGGGGACGUAAACUGACUUUUUAUAAGUGAAGAAUAUGACGUAACUUAUGAAUAAGGAUCGGACUAACUCGUGCCAGCAGCCGC
This 458-nucleotide ribosomal RNA is filed under the name uncultured soil bacterium. RNAcentral's name for it is "bacterial SSU rRNA". It matches the Rfam family "Bacterial small subunit ribosomal RNA", at positions 26 to 518 of the family's 1533-position model. The record is from RNAcentral.